UUGAUCCUGGCUCAGAAUCAACGCUGGCGGCGUGCCUCAGACAUGCAAGUCGAACGCGAAAGUUCCCUUCGGGGAGCGAGUAGAGUGGCGUCCGGGUGAUUAACACGUAGGUAAUCUACCUUUGGGUGGGGAAUAACAAUCGGAAACGGUUGCUAAUACCGCAUAAUGCAGCGGCACCGCAUGGUGACAGUUGUUAAAGUGGGGGAUCGCAAGACCUCGCGCCUAAAGAGGAGCCUGUGGCGGAUUAGCUAGUUGGCAGGGUAACGGCCUACCAAGGCGACGAUCCGUAGCCGGCCUGAUAGGGCGGUCGGCCACACUGACACUGAAAUACGGGUCAGACUCCUACGGGUGGCAGCAGUCGGGAAUUUUGGGCAAUGGGCGCAAGCCUGACCCAGCAACUCCGCGUGAAGGAUGAAAUCCCUCGGGAUGUAAACUUCGCAAGAACAGGAUGAAUAAGCUCGUGUUAACAGCACGAGUGAUGACGGUACUGUUUGUAAGCUCCGGCUAACUCCGUGCCAGCAGCCGCGGUAAUAAGGGCGU
Molecule: ribosomal RNA, 540 nt
Filed under: uncultured Acidobacteriota bacterium
Lineage: Bacteria; Pseudomonadati; Acidobacteriota
Description: bacterial SSU rRNA
Rfam family: Bacterial small subunit ribosomal RNA
Source: RNAcentral